UACGAAGGGUGCAAGCGUUAAUCGGAAUUACUGGGCGUAAAGCGUGCGUAGGCGGUUGGCUAAGUCAGAUGUGAAAGCCCUGGGCUCAACCUGGGAAUGGCAUUUGAAACUGGUCGGCUAGAGUGUGAUAGAGGAUGGCGGAAUUCCCGGUGUAGCGGUGAAAUGCGUAGAGAUCGGGAGGAACAUCCGUGGCGAAGGCGGCCAUCUGGAUCAACACUGACGCUGAGGCACGAAAGCGUGGGGAGCAAACAGG
RNAcentral lists this ribosomal RNA (253 nucleotides) under uncultured bacterium. RNAcentral describes it as "partial 16S ribosomal RNA". It matches the Rfam family "Bacterial small subunit ribosomal RNA", at positions 524 to 776 of the family's 1533-position model. The record is from RNAcentral.